UACAGAGGUCUCAAGCGUUGUUCGGAUUCAUUGGGCGUAAAGGGUGCGUAGGCGGCGCGGUAAGUCGGGUGUGAAAUCUCGGAGCUUAACUCCGAAACUGCAUUCGAUACUGCCGUGCUUGAGGACUGGAGAGGGGACUGGAAUUUACGGUGUAGCGGUGAAAUGCGUAGAUAUCGUAAGGAAGACCAGUGGCGAAGGCGGGUCUCUGGACAGUUCCUGACGCUGAGGCACGAAGGCCAGGGGAGCAAACGGG
RNAcentral lists this ribosomal RNA (253 nucleotides) under uncultured bacterium. Its description in RNAcentral is "partial 16S ribosomal RNA". It matches the Rfam family "Bacterial small subunit ribosomal RNA", at positions 524 to 776 of the family's 1533-position model. The record is from RNAcentral.